UUUUGACGUUUUCACCCAUAAAAAAUGGAAGAAAACAGUUGAAAUUUUUCAAUUUUGUUUCUUAUGGGUUCAUAUGUAAACCAUUAAAAAGUUGACCCUCUAAACUGUUUCAGUAAGCGUAACACAAAAAUGCUCAUUUUCAGAAAAUCUAGAACUGCAAAAAUAAAACAAAAAUGUUCAUAGAGUCCGCUUUCUAUACCGCAAUCCACACGAC
RNAcentral lists this long non-coding RNA (214 nucleotides) under Mytilus galloprovincialis (Mediterranean mussel). The record is from RNAcentral. Lineage: Eukaryota; Metazoa; Mollusca; Bivalvia; Mytilida; Mytilidae.